UUGCACGCUGGCGGCAUGCCUUACACAUGCCAGUCGAACGGUAACGGGCCUUCGGGUGCCGACGAGUGGCGAACGGGUGAGUAAUACAUCGGAACGUGCCCGAUCGUGGGGGAUAACGAGGCGAAAGCUUUGCUAAUACCGCAUACGAUCUACGGAUGAAAGCAGGGGACCGCAAGGCCUUGCGCGGACGGAGCGGCCGAUGGCAGAUUAGGUAGUUGGUGGGCUAAAAGCUUACCAAGCCGACGAUCUGUAGCUGGUCUGAGAGGAUGAUCAGCCACACUGGGACUGAGACACGGCCCAGACUCCUACGGGAGGCAGCAGUGGGGAAUUUUGGACAAUGGGCGCAAGCCUGAUCCAGCCAUGCCGCGUGCAGGAUGAAGGCCUUCGGGUUGUAAACUGCUUUUGUACGGAACGAAAAGCCUUCUUUUAAUACAGGAGGGUCAUGACGGUACCGUAAGAAUAAGCACCGGCUAACUACGUG
RNAcentral lists this ribosomal RNA (481 nucleotides) under uncultured bacterium. RNAcentral describes it as "partial 16S ribosomal RNA". It matches the Rfam family "Bacterial small subunit ribosomal RNA", at positions 30 to 507 of the family's 1533-position model. The record is from RNAcentral.